Sinocyclocheilus anshuiensis is the source of this 275-nucleotide long non-coding RNA. RefSeq lists it as uncharacterized. The record is from RefSeq and is a predicted model, not a curated record. The transcript is spliced from 3 exons. Lineage: Eukaryota; Metazoa; Chordata; Actinopteri; Cypriniformes; Cyprinidae.
GCCCAGCUCUGUCUGUUUGGCUCUUCUAAGAACGGCUUUGGCUUUCGUGACAGUGACCUGGACAUCUGUAUGACACUGGAGGGUCACGACACCGCUGAGAAGCUGAACUGUAAGGAGAUCAUUGAGGGUUUAGCCAAGGUGCUGAAGAAACACACAGGUUUAAGGAAUAUCUUGCCUAUCACAACUGCUAAAGUGCCUAUAGUGAAGUUUGAACACAGGCAGAGCGGACUGGAGGGAGACAUCAGCCUCUACAACACACUGGUUGAGACACACUC